AGCAGUGGGGAAUAUUGCACAAUGGGCGAAAGCCUGAUGCAGCAACGCCGCGUGAGCGAUGAAGGCCUUCGGGUCGUAAAGCUCUGUCCUCAAGGAAGAUAAUGACGGUACUUGAGGAGGAAGCCCCGGCUAACUACGUGCCAGCAGCCGCGGUAAUACGUAGGGGGCUAGCGUUAUCCGGAAUUACUGGGCGUAAAGGGUGCGUAGGUGGUUUCUUAAGUCAGAGGUGAAAGGCUACGGCUCAACCGUAGUAAGCCUUUGAAACUGGGAAACUUGAGUGCAGGAGAGGAGAGUGGAAUUCCUAGUGUAGCGGUGAAAUGCGUAGAUAUUAGGAGGAACACCAGUUGCGAAGGCGGCUCUCUGGACUGUAACUGACACUGAGG
Molecule: ribosomal RNA, 383 nt
Filed under: uncultured bacterium
Lineage: Bacteria
Description: bacterial SSU rRNA
Rfam family: Bacterial small subunit ribosomal RNA
Source: RNAcentral